CUUAAUGGUAAAGUGCAUUUUUGAUAAGAAUGAAAUUUAAGUUCAACUCUUAAAAGAAUUAAGGUAGCAAGCUAUAGAGAAUUGGCUGAGUGGUUUAAGGCGGUAAGUUUGAGUUUUAUUAGGUUAUCUACACUGCAUCCGUUCAAAUCGGAUAUUCUCUGUUAUUCUUAAAGAGUAUAAUUUAAUUGGCAAAAUAGGAAGCUUCAACCUUCAACUUCUUGGUUCAAAUCCAAGUACUCUUGUUAAAAAUUAGUAAACAUAAAAAAACGGAUUAUGGCUGAGUGGUAAAGCGCUUUCUUUGGGAGAAAGAUGUCCUAAGUUCGAAUCUUAGUAAACCGAAAUAAAAUAUGUUUAGAAGCAUAUGUAAUAAUUUGUAAGAUAUAUAUAUAUACAAAUAUAUAUAAAUAAGUAUACAAAGAAAUUAUUAUGGAAUUUUCGCUGUGUAUUAAAGAGAAAGUUUUUAUUAAAGUUAUUAAUAAAAAGGAUAACAAUAUGAACUCUAAGAGAAAUUGAAUAAUAAACGAAGUGAAUUGAAAUAUCUUAGUAACUUCAGGAAAAGAAAUCAAAAGAGAUUCCAUGAAUAGUGUGAACGAAAGUGGAAAAGUCUAUAAAGUAAAAUGGUUUUUAAACAGUUUGAACUAUAUGGGGAACCUUCCUCAAAGACUAAAUAUAAUACAUAAGCUAUAGAAUAGAGUACCGUGAGGGAACAAAUUGAAAUAGUAAUUUUAUAAGCAGUUUGAAAAAAAAAACGUACCUUUUGCAUAAUGGGUCACCAAGUUAACAUUAGAUGCGAGAAAAUACGUAGUUAAACCGAGCGUUAAAAUAACGGUAUAGUAUCUAAAGUUAGACCCGAAGCCUGGUGAUUUUACCACAAUCAGGAUUAUAAAAGUCCGAACGGAAUAUUGUAGCAAAAAUAUCCGAAGAAUUGUGGUAGGUAUAGUGAAAGACAAUACUGACCAGGAUAGCUGGUUUUCUGCGAAACCUAUAACAGUAGGCAAUUUAAUUAAACAUCUUAGCAGGUACAGAAUUUAAUCUCAGACAAGACAAAAACAUUUGUUUUAUAUUGUACAAAUUGGGGGAUCGUGAAGAUUUUAUCAGUGAGUAUGUAGACUCGGAAUGGCAAAGAUGUAUGUUAAAUUAUCAGACAUAGAAUGAUAAGGUUGUAUGUCAAAAGGGAAACAGCCCAGAACAAGAGUUAAGGUUCCAAAAUUAUUAGUUAAGUGAAAUUAAGAAAGUUUUUAUUAAAGUCGACAAGGAGAUAGGCUUAGAAGCAGCCACAAUUUUAUGACCUCGUAACAGAGCGCUUGUUAAGUUAUAAAAGCAUCGAAAAUUUAACGGAUCUAAACAAUAUACCGAAACUUUGUCCAUAUAAAUUCAAAAAAUAUUUGAAUUAUAUGGGGUAGCAGAACGUUGAAUUAUGUUAAGACUUUUAUUUUUUAAAUAAAAGUAACUAUUUUUAUAUAAUAAAUUCUUGUACAAUAUUAUUUACUUGUAUUUAAUCUAUUAACAAGAAUUCUGUUUAUAAAAAUGAAUAGUCAAAUUCAAGUGAGAAUGGUGACAUGAGUAACUAAAAGAAAAAUUUAAUUUUUCCGCCUAAAGCUUAUGGAUGACAUUAAGUAACGGCCUCUAAGUUUAUAAUUAUCUAAAGGUUUAAACGAUGAGAAAUCUUGAUUACUAAGGACGACAUUUUGGUGAAAAAUGUACUGGAAAAAUAGUAAUAUUUUUAUCUAUUGAUAAAGAUAAUAACCGUACCUAGAUUCUGAAACAAGUAAGCUAGUAGAGAAUACGAAGGCGUAAAUGAGCUAACAAUCAUAAAGGAACUCGGCAAAUUAACUACCGUAACUUCGGAAUAAGGAGGGCUCAUUAUUCUUGAUUAAUAUCAAGUAAAAAGGAAGAAGCAUGAAAUAGUGUUGUACGACUGUUUAAUUAAAACACAGCACUUUGCUGAAAGAUUAAAAAUCUAAGUAUAAAGUGUGAGAUCUGCCCAGUGCCGGCUGGUUAACAGAGACAACUAGGUAUACUAUUAUCUAAUGUCGACGGAAACCCCGGUUAAAGGCGGCCUUAACGUGAGGGUCCUAAGGUAGCUAAAUGCCUUGGCCGUUAAAUGCGGUCUUGCAUGAAUGGUGUAACGAUACAACAGCUGUCUCUAUGAUUGACUCAGUGAAAUUGGAAUAGCUGUGCAGAUACAGCUUACCUCUAGUUAGACGAGAAGACCCUAUGCAGCUUUACUGUCACUAAUUAUAGAUUAUGUUAAGGAAUUUUCAGAUUAUAAGGUAAUCGAUAUUAGAUUAAAAUGAGAAACCUUUAUUUUCAUUUCAUUUGAAUGAAUGAAUUUAAGAUUAUAAUGUCUAGAAAACACAAAAAUCAAUUUGUGAGGUCAGGUAUUAUAAUAAUAAAUUAACCUAAUUCAGCUUAUUUUUUUUAUAAUAUAAAUAAAUAAGUUCCCUUUGGUGAGGAAAUAUCGUUAGGAGACAGUUUAUGUGGGGCACAGACCCUGUAAAGAGUAAACAGGAGUGUCUAAAAUUUUUUUAUAUUUAGUUUGUCAUUUUUAAUAGUUAUUUAUUAUAAUUAUUAUUGAUCAUAUUUAUUUAAAUAUAUUUAUAAAUUCUUAUAGAUAUGUUUAAAAUAAGGUAGGAUUUUUACUACAUAGAAAGUAGAGAUAUUAAAAAUUUUACGGAGAUUUUUCUAAAAUUUUUUAGAUUAUUAUUCAAUAAUCCAUGUUAAUAUCUAAAAAGCUCAACGGCUAAAUCCUGCCUUACUGUUUGAUUAUCUACAAAUCUUACAGUUGCGUAAGCAGGGCAUAGGAUCACAAGAUACAAUAAGGAAAGAUCUUGGAUUUUUGGAAAAGCUACGCUAGGGAUGUUUGUCCUAUAAUAUUUAAUAUAUUAUAAAGUGAAAUAACUUUAUAAUUAGUUAAAUAAUUAAUAUAAAUUGGGUAGAUUUCAAGAAUUACUUUUUAGUAAACUUGAAGCGAAUUUUAUUUUAACAUAUAAUAAAAUAAAAACGUUCAACGACUAUAGGGUGAGUUUUUAUGACAGAUUUAAAGCGGAAGCUCAUAAAUUAAACAAUAAUCCCUUUAACUAUCCAACAUUUACAACUUUAUAAUUUAAAUUA
RNAcentral lists this transfer RNA (3114 nucleotides) under Phytophthora ramorum (sudden oak death agent). RNAcentral describes it as "bacterial LSU rRNA". The stretch from base 418 to 2169 matches the Rfam family "Bacterial large subunit ribosomal RNA", at positions 15 to 2044 of the family's 2925-position model. The record is from RNAcentral. Lineage: Eukaryota; Oomycota; Peronosporomycetes; Peronosporales; Peronosporaceae.